Molecule: ribosomal RNA, 292 nt
Filed under: uncultured bacterium
Lineage: Bacteria
Also listed under: 1 other name
Description: partial 16S ribosomal RNA
Source: RNAcentral
GGACUACUAGGGUAUCUAAUCCCGUUUGCUCCCCUGGCUUUCGCGCCUCAGCGUCAGGUGAGGUCCAGCACGCCGCUUUCGCCACCGGCGUUCCUUCCGAUAUCUACGCAUUUCACCGCUCCACCGGAAGUUCCGCAUGCCCCUACCUCCCUCGAGCUGCUCAGUAUCAGGGGCACUUGUCCGGUUGGGCCGAACGCUUUCACCCCUGACUUAGGCAGCCGCCUACGCGCCCUUUAAGCCCAGUGAAUCCGAACAACGUUCGCACGGUUCGUCUUACCGCGGCUGCUGGCAC